AUUGCUUCUCGGCCUUUUGGCUAAGAUCAAGUGUAGUAUCUGUUCUUAUCAGUUUAAAGUUUUCAGUAUACAGUCUUGCACAUUUUUGGUUAAAUUUGCCCCUGAGUAUUUCAUAGUUUUGAUAAUAUUACAGCUUGUAUGAUUUAAAAAAAUUUAAUUCAAUUAUUUGUAGCUAGUAUACAGAACGAUA
Neomonachus schauinslandi (Hawaiian monk seal) is the source of this 190-nucleotide small nuclear RNA. RefSeq annotates it as U2 spliceosomal RNA. The record is from RefSeq and is a predicted model, not a curated record. Lineage: Eukaryota; Metazoa; Chordata; Mammalia; Carnivora; Phocidae. The transcript has a single exon.